Molecule: ribosomal RNA, 315 nt
Filed under: Chloroflexota bacterium
Lineage: Bacteria; Bacillati; Chloroflexota
Description: bacterial SSU rRNA
Rfam family: Bacterial small subunit ribosomal RNA
Source: RNAcentral
ACACGCUACAAUGGUCGACACAGAGGGCAGCGAAACCGCGAGGCGGAGCGAAUCUCACAAAGUCGAUCUCAGUUCAGAUUGCAGGCUGCAACCCGCCUGCAUGAAGUUGGAGUUGCUAGUAACCGCAGGUCAGCUACACUGCGGUGAAUACGUUCCCGGGCCUUGUACACACCGCCCGUCACGUCAUGGAAGCCGGCAACACUUGAAGCCGACGCGCCAACCUUCGGGAGGCAGUCGCCUAGGGUGGGGCUGGUAACUGGGACGAAGUCGUAACAAGGUAGCCGUAGCGGAAGCUGCGGCUGGAUCACCUCCUUU